GACGAGGGACCCUAGCGUUGUUCGGAAUCAUUGGGCGUAAAGCGGGUGUAGGUGGCUUUGUAAGUCAGAUGUGAAAGCCCAGGGCUUAACCUUGGAAGUGCAUUUGAUACUGCGAAGCUUGAGUGCUGGAGAGGUUACUAGAAUUCCUGGUGUAGUGGUGAAAUACGUAGAUAUCAGGAGGAAUACCGGAGGCGAAGGCGGGUAACUGGCCAGACACUGACACUCAGACCCGAAAGCGUGGGGAUCAAACAGG
This 253-nucleotide ribosomal RNA is filed under the name uncultured bacterium. RNAcentral describes it as "partial 16S ribosomal RNA". It matches the Rfam family "Bacterial small subunit ribosomal RNA", at positions 524 to 776 of the family's 1533-position model. The record is from RNAcentral.